GUGGUCUACCUUAUUUUCUCUGGGAA
This 26-nucleotide non-coding RNA is filed under the name Rattus norvegicus (Norway rat). Lineage: Eukaryota; Metazoa; Chordata; Mammalia; Rodentia; Muridae. The record is from RNAcentral.